UGCGCAUGCAUGUCUAUUUUUGUUGAAGGAAAAACCCAAACUGGGGUAAUUCUUUCUAGAUGUAACGCGGUGUAAUUAAUUCGGAUUAACUAAACCCGGUUCGACCCUGGGUUUAGAUUUCAUAGUGUGAACACGGUAUAAGUGUAUCAUCUCAUUACAGUGAUUGUGUUCAGUUAAAGCAGUAAGUAGCAUUACCCUGAUAGUAUGGGCAAAUUAAUAUGAUAGGCACAUAUCAAACUAUUCUUUGAAUAACAAAUAGACUGUUAACAUUCAAAAUGGUCUUUUGACAAUCAUUCAAGGGAAUAAACUCUAUCAAACAUUUUGGAUUUCCAGAUGAAGAUAUA
Molecule: long non-coding RNA, 344 nt
Filed under: Mytilus galloprovincialis (Mediterranean mussel)
Lineage: Eukaryota; Metazoa; Mollusca; Bivalvia; Mytilida; Mytilidae
Source: RNAcentral